UACAGAGGGUGCGAGCGUUGUCCGGAAUCACUGGGCGUAAAGGGCGCGUAGGUGGCACGACAAGUCAGUGGUGAAAGCUUGACGCUCAACGUCGAGUCGGCCACUGAUACUGUUGAGCUGGAGCACUGUAGAGGCAGAUGGAAUUCCGGGUGUAGCGGUGGAAUGCGUAGAGAUCCGGAAGAACACCGGUGGCGAAGGCGGUCUGCUGGGCAGUUGCUGACACUGAGGCGCGACAGCGUGGGGAGCAAACAGG
RNAcentral lists this ribosomal RNA (253 nucleotides) under uncultured bacterium. RNAcentral describes it as "partial 16S ribosomal RNA". It matches the Rfam family "Bacterial small subunit ribosomal RNA", at positions 524 to 776 of the family's 1533-position model. The record is from RNAcentral.